UUGUUUGCAGGUGCAGCAGCAUCAAGAUUCACACACAAGUUCUACCUCUAUGGGGGAAUGUUUUGGUGUUGAGAAUCUUGAUGAUGCUGCAUCAGCAAUAGA
This is a microRNA precursor of Vigna angularis (adzuki bean), 102 nucleotides long. It matches the Rfam family "mir-172 microRNA precursor family". From Rfam's summary of the family: mir-172 has been experimentally verified in Arabidopsis thaliana. NCBI's taxonomy places the organism in Eukaryota, Viridiplantae, Streptophyta, Magnoliopsida, Fabales, Fabaceae. The record is from Rfam.